RNAcentral lists this ribosomal RNA (597 nucleotides) under Colletotrichum syzygiicola. Its description in RNAcentral is "eukaryotic LSU rRNA". The stretch from base 230 to 383 matches the Rfam family "5.8S ribosomal RNA". Lineage: Eukaryota; Fungi; Ascomycota; Sordariomycetes; Glomerellales; Glomerellaceae. The record is from RNAcentral.
UAGAGGAAGUAAAAGUCGUAACAAGGUCUCCGUUGGUGAACCAGCGGAGGGACAUUACUGAGUUUACGCUCUACAACCCUUUGUGAACAUACCUAUAACUGUUGCUUCGGCGGGUAGGGUCUCCGUGACCCUCCCGGCCUCCCGCCCCCGGGCGGGUCGGCGCCCGCCGGAGGAUAACCAAACUCUGAUUUAACGACGUUUCUUCUGAGUGGUACAAGCAAAUAAUCAAAACUUUUAACAACGGAUCUCUUGGUUCUGGCAUCGAUGAAGAACGCAGCGAAAUGCGAUAAGUAAUGUGAAUUGCAGAAUUCAGUGAAUCAUCGAAUCUUUGAACGCACAUUGCGCCCGCCAGCAUUCUGGCGGGCAUGCCUGUUCGAGCGUCAUUUCAACCCUCAAGCUCUGCUUGGUGUUGGGGCCCUACGGCUGACGUAGGCCCUCAAAGGUAGUGGCGGACCCUCCCGGAGCCUCCUUUGCGUAGUAACUUUACGUCUCGCACUGGGAUCCGGAGGGACUCUUGCCGUAAAACCCCCAAUUUUCCAAAGGUUGACCUCGGAUCAGGUAGGAAUACCCGCUGAACUUAAGCAUAUCAAUAAGCGG